UCAAUACAUUGGACUACAUAU
This 21-nucleotide microRNA is filed under the name Brassica napus (rape). RNAcentral's name for it is "bna-miR860". Its record names the gene bna-miR860. Lineage: Eukaryota; Viridiplantae; Streptophyta; Magnoliopsida; Brassicales; Brassicaceae. The record is from miRBase by way of RNAcentral. RNAcentral also lists the same sequence under 1 other name.